CAGCAGCCACGGUAAUACGAAGGGUGCAAGCGUUGUUCGGAAUUACUGGGCGUAAAGCGCACGUAGGCGGCUUGGUAAGUUAGAGGUGAAAGCCUGGAGCUCAACUCCAGAAUUGCCUUUAAGACUGCCGAGCUAGCAGGUGAGAGAGGUAAGUGGAAUUCCGAGUGUAGAGGUGAAAUUCGUAGAUAUUCGGAAGAACACCAGUGGCGAAGGCGGCUUACUGGCUCAUACUGGACGCUGAGGUGCGAAAGCGUGGGGAGCAAACAGGAUUAGAUACCCCCGUAGUCCCUGUCUCUUAUAC
RNAcentral lists this ribosomal RNA (301 nucleotides) under uncultured bacterium. Its description in RNAcentral is "partial 16S ribosomal RNA". It matches the Rfam family "Bacterial small subunit ribosomal RNA", at positions 509 to 807 of the family's 1533-position model. The record is from RNAcentral.